Molecule: unclassified non-coding RNA, 421 nt
Filed under: soil metagenome
Description: partial contains 5.8S ribosomal RNA, internal transcribed spacer 2, and large subunit ribosomal RNA
Rfam family: 5.8S ribosomal RNA (bases 1-120)
Source: RNAcentral
GAUGAAGAACGCAGCGAAAUGCGAUACGUAAUGUGAAUUGCAGAAUUCAGUGAAUCAUCGAAUCUUUGAACGCAUAUUGCGCUCUUUGGUAUUCCGAAGAGCAUGCUUGUUUGAGUAUCAGUAAACACCUCAACCUCUUCUUGAUUUUUCAAAAGGAGGGUGGACUUGAGCUAUCCCAACAACCUUUACCGGUCGGCGGGCGGCUUGAAAUGCAGGUGCAGCUGGACUUUUAUCUGAUCUAAAAGCAUAUCUAUUUAGUCCUCGUCAAACAGGAUUAUUACUUUUGCUGCAGCUAACAUAAAGGAUAAUUGUCCUCUUUGCUGACUGAUGCAGGAUUUUACGACACUUUAUGUGUUGUUCAACUCGAUCUCAAAUCAAGUAAGACUACCCGCUGAACUUAAGCAUAUCAAUAAGCGGAGGA